GAUGAACGCUGGCGGCGUGCUUAACACAUGCAAGUCGAACGAAGCACUUUAACCUGAUUCUUCGGAUGAAGGUUUUUGUGACUGAGUGGCGGACGGGUGAGUAACGCGUGGGUAACCUGCCUCAUACAGGGGGAUAACAGUUAGAAAUGACUGCUAAUACCGCAUAAGACCACAGAGCCGCAUGGCUCGGUGGGAAAAACUCCGGUGGUAUGAGAUGGACCCGCGUCUGAUUAGGUAGUUGGUGGGGUAACGGCCUACCAAGCCAACGAUCAGUAGCCGACCUGAGAGGGUGACCGGCCACAUUGGGACUGAGACACGGCCCAAACUCCUACGGGAGGCAGCAGUGGGGAAUAUUGCACAAUGGGGGAAACCCUGAUGCAGCGACGCCGCGUGAGCGAAGAAGUAUCUCGGUAUGUAAAGCUCUAUCAGCAGGGAAGAAAAUGACGGUACCUGACUAAGAAGCACCGGCUAAAUACGUG
RNAcentral lists this ribosomal RNA (479 nucleotides) under uncultured bacterium. RNAcentral describes it as "partial 16S ribosomal RNA". It matches the Rfam family "Bacterial small subunit ribosomal RNA", at positions 28 to 507 of the family's 1533-position model. The record is from RNAcentral.